RNAcentral lists this ribosomal RNA (253 nucleotides) under uncultured bacterium. RNAcentral describes it as "partial 16S ribosomal RNA". It matches the Rfam family "Bacterial small subunit ribosomal RNA", at positions 524 to 776 of the family's 1533-position model. The record is from RNAcentral.
UACGUAGGGUGCGAGCGUUAAUCGGAAUUACUGGGCGUAAAGCGUGCGCAGGCGGUUCGCUGUGUCCUGUGUGAAAGCCCCGGGCUUAACCUGGGAAUGGCAUGGGAAACUGGCGAGCUUGAGUGCGGCAGAGGGGGGUGGAAUUCCGCGUGUAGCAGUGAAAUGCGUAGAGAUGCGGAGGAACACCGAUGGCGAAGGCAGCCCCCUGGGCUAACACUGACGCUCAGGCACGAAAGCGUGGGGAGCAAACAGG